Molecule: long non-coding RNA, 709 nt
Filed under: Parus major (Great Tit)
Lineage: Eukaryota; Metazoa; Chordata; Aves; Passeriformes; Paridae
Description: lncRNA (ENSPMJG00000014308.1)
Source: RNAcentral
GGGCAAGUGCCUGUGUAAGUCAGCCUUGAUACACAAAAAACAGAAAUUAAAAGAUGUCUUUGAAAUUUGAAGUCUGCAAGUAGAUUGCGGCAUUGUUUAAAAAAGUGCAUAUCUUCAGCAUCAGACAAGGGCCUUCAGCUCUGCAUCUGGACUGUUACUUCCAUUCCUAAACAUUUAUUAAACAUUUUUGCCUCUAGUUUGAGGUCUGAGAUGAGAUGGGAGAAACUUCCAGCAGAAGGUCUAUUUUACAGGAUGUUCUUCACUAGAUAGGAACUUUAUUUUUUGAACAGAAGAGUCACAUACCUAUCCAAGGCCACCCAUGUAGACAGGAAAAGAGGCAGAAGAAGUGACCAGGAGAGUGUGCAAAGCCUCGGUGAUAUGCAGAAUGACUGAAUUAAAUUCAAGAAGAAAAAUUAAUCAGUGAAGAGUGAAUAUGGUUCAUCUUUCAGGAUCCAAGCAAUGGAAAAGACUGAGUUAUUGGAUGGACACCAUGGGAUGCCAAAUGUACAAAUUGCCUUGCAGCUCAAGAGUCUGUGAAGAAUCCUGACCAAAGCUUCUAUGACCACAUGAACUUUUGGGGACCUGCCAAGCAAUCCAAAGAUGUUCAUGGUGAUAUGUGAAUAUGUUGAAAAUUGCACUGUGGGAAGAACCCCUUUUUUACUAAAAAGGGCAAAACAUGCACAACAUCCUUGGGGAAACUGGAGCUGGA